This 626-nucleotide ribosomal RNA is filed under the name uncultured bacterium. Its description in RNAcentral is "bacterial SSU rRNA". It matches the Rfam family "Bacterial small subunit ribosomal RNA", at positions 246 to 863 of the family's 1533-position model. The record is from RNAcentral.
UAGUUGGUGGGGUAAAGGCCUACCAAGGCGACGAUCUGUAGCGGGUCUGAGAGGAUGAUCCGCCACACUGGGACUGAGACACGGCCCAGACUCCUACGGGAGGCAGCAGUGGGGAAUAUUGGACAAUGGGCGCAAGCCUGAUCCAGCCAUGCCGCGUGUGUGAAGAAGGCCUUUUGGUUGUAAAGCACUUUAAGCGAGGAGGAGGCUACUUGGAUUAAUACUCUAGGAUAGUGGACGUUACUCGCAGAAUAAGCACCGGCUAACUCUGUGCCAGCAGCCGCGGUAAUACAGAGGGUGCGAGCGUUAAUCGGAUUUACUGGGCGUAAAGCGUGCGUAGGCGGCUUUUUAAGUCGGAUGUGAAAUCCCUGAGCUUAACUUAGGAAUUGCAUUCGAUACUGGGAAGCUAGAGUAUGGGAGAGGAUGGUAGAAUUCCAGGUGUAGCGGUGAAAUGCGUAGAGAUCUGGAGGAAUACCGAUGGCGAAGGCAGCCAUCUGGCCUAAUACUGACGCUGAGGUACGAAAGCAUGGGGAGCAAACAGGAUUAGAUACCCUGGUAGUCCAUGCCGUAAACGAUGUCUACUAGCCGUUGGGGCCUUUGAGGCUUUAGUGGCGCAGCUAACGCGAUAA